GAUGAACGCUGGCUACAGGCUUAACACAUGCAAGUCGAGGGGAAACGCCGGGGUAGCUUGCUUCCCCGGGCGUCGACCGGCGUACGGGUGAGUAACGCGUAUCCCACCUGCCUCUGACUGAGCGAUAACCCGCCGAAAGUCGGCCUAAUACCUCAUGCUUUCGUCUGCGGGCAUCCAACGACGAUUAAAGAUUUCAUCGGUCAGGGACGGGGUUGCGUCUGAUUAGCUUGUUGGUGGGUUAACGGCCCACCAAGGCUACGAUCAGUAGGGGUUCUGAGGGGAGGCGCCCCGACAGGGGAACUGGGCCACGGGCGAAAGACCUACGGGAGGCAGCAGUGAGGAAUAUAGGUGAAGGGACGAGUGCCUGAACCGGCCAAGUAUGAUGCAGGAAGGCGGCGCUAGGGGUUGUGAACUGCGUGUAGGCGGGGAUAAAGGGAGGGACGGGUCCCUGAGUGCAGGUACCGGAUGAAUAAGGACCGGCUAAUUCCGUG
Molecule: ribosomal RNA, 491 nt
Filed under: uncultured bacterium
Lineage: Bacteria
Description: partial 16S ribosomal RNA
Rfam family: Bacterial small subunit ribosomal RNA
Source: RNAcentral